UACGUAGGGUGCAAGCGUUAAUCGGAAUUACUGGGCGUAAAGGGCGCGUAGGCGGCCUGCUAAGUCGAACGUGAAAUCCCCGGGCUCAACCCGGGAACUGCGUCCGAUACUGGCAGGCUUGAAUCCGGGAGAGGGAUGCGGAAUUCCAGGUGUAGCGGUGAAAUGCGUAGAUAUCUGGAGGAACACCGGUGGCGAAGGCGGCAUCCUGGACCGGCAUUGACGCUGAGGCGCGAAAGCCAGGGGAGCAAACGGG
RNAcentral lists this ribosomal RNA (253 nucleotides) under uncultured bacterium. RNAcentral describes it as "partial 16S ribosomal RNA". It matches the Rfam family "Bacterial small subunit ribosomal RNA", at positions 524 to 776 of the family's 1533-position model. The record is from RNAcentral.